Molecule: ribosomal RNA, 327 nt
Filed under: uncultured eukaryote
Lineage: Eukaryota
Description: partial 18S ribosomal RNA
Rfam family: Eukaryotic small subunit ribosomal RNA
Source: RNAcentral
CCCUUAGAUGUUCUGGGCCGCACGCGCGCUACACUGACUACUUCAACGAGUUGUUUCCUUGAUCGAAAGGUCUGGGUAAUCUUUGAAAGGUAGUCGUGAUGGGGCUAGACCCUUGCAAUUAUUGGUCUCCAACGAGGAAUUCCUAGUAAACGCAAGUCAUCAGCUUGCAUUGAUUACGUCCCUGCCCUUUGUACACACCGCCCGUCGCACCUACCGAUUGAAUGGUCCGGUGAAAUCUUUGGAUUGGCGCUUUACUUUCUUCACGGAAAAUUUAGCAUCGAGAAGUUGAUUAAACCUUACCAUUUAGAGGAAGGUGAAGUCGUAACA